GACGCCCCCGCUCCUGACUGCAAGUGCUCGCGACUCGCCUAGGUUUUGGGGGCGGCGGCCGGCAGCGCUCCUGCUCCGAGCUUCUGGCGUCGCGGCACGCAGGAGCACCAUCUCUGCAGGCUGCAGCGCGCGCACAACGCGGAGCCGGCCAGCCGGGAGUACGCGGGCGGCGGGCGGCGGGCGGCUGCGGAGCCGCGGAGGGCACGGCCGCACGGAGGCCGGAGCUGCGUGCUGCGACCUGCGAUCACUGCGGCACUGCCGGAGGCCGGAGCGCGUGCUGCGACCUGCGAGCCUGCGACUGCAAGGUGCCAAGGUGCAAGCUUCGACGGAGCCACACUGCCACAGCCACAGAGGCAGGAUUCACCACUGGCCGCGACCCAACGCGGACUGAGGUGGCCACCACAGCACCACCCGCAGCCAGCAUAGCUCGCCCGCCGACUCCUGAAGCCACCGCGGAAACAAGCAGGACCCCUCCUAUCCAUGGCUCGCCGCCUCGUCGUGCGCCACUUUCUCCCACACUUGCGCCUGCAGGCGCCGCGGCCCCUGCCUGUUCCACCGCUGGCUCUGGGCAUGAUUAGGCGUUGUGUCGGUCCGUUGUCUUCUCCGGUUCUGGCGCAUCAAGGAAUACGAUACUUUGCCGACGAUCACUCACACUACGAUCUGUUUGGUAAAAGAAGACCAGGGGAUGAAGAGUUCAGAAAAGCUUGGCAAGAGGAUGUUGAUGAAGAGGACUGCCUGUGGACAGGUAGUGAAGAUGAUGACGAGGAGGAAGAGAGUGAUACAAAAUUGGAGAGGGAAAUUAAGAAAGUAAAGAGGCAAGCCAAGGAAAAUGCAAAUCUUAUUGAUGCUGAUGACAGUGAUGAGUUAAGAAGCAUAUGCCCUGAGAGUGAUGAAGAUGAUAUGACUCUUUGGAGUGGCAGUGAAGACGAUGACGAUGAUGAUAUUCCCUCUGAGGCACAUCCCAGUGAACGCAGCGAUUCAUAUAUUGAUAAGGUGUUUGAAUUUGAUGAGUCACCAAAGUACCGCACAAUUUCAGAGCUGUUGAAAGCAGAGAAUGAACCACCAGAGCUAUCUCCAGGAAAGCAAGCAAGAAAACUUGCCGUAGAAAAUGCUCUUAAGAAGUUGAAGAAAGGCCCUGAUGGACGCUACAUUAACGUAUUUGAUGUUGUCACUGAUAUAGAUAUCCUUAUUGGAGCAUUUGAGAAUAUUGUUUCAGGACCAGAAUAUGCAGAGCUGCGGGAGGGUGGACCAAAAAAGCUCAAUAUACAGUUCUUUAAGGAUAUACAAGCACGCAUGAGGGACCCAAAUUUCAAGUUUUCUCCAGAGUUGAAGUUAAAACCAAAGAGUAAGUUAGUGUCUAGGAAAAAGUGGCAGAAAGCAAAAGCAAGGAAGAGGAAAAAUGACAGACGUUGAGCUGACAUCAUACAUUGAAGAUCAAAGGAAAGGAAGCUUCUUGCUGGAUCAUGCGGUUAUCAAUUGUCUAUAUGUCUGGAUGCAUCAUGGUAUCUGUACUAUAGUCUGUCAAAAGUGGUAAGGAGGACUGGUGAGAAAUCAGAAUUUAUUUUCGUUAGGGACCAAUGCCGUCAUGAAGUGAGCCACAACCAUUAUGAUGCGCAUUCAUUUUCAACCACCUUUACCAGCAUACACUUUCAUCAUGGUUCAUGGAAUUUGAUCAUGGUUGGCAACUUUGGGUUCCGCAGGCUCACAGCUUUCUUGCAAGGAAAACUGCACCCGGUGUUUGCAACCUUCCCCUUUUGGUUCUUGAAAUCCAUUUGCAAUAUGUACGUCUAUUCUCCUAAUGUUUUCAACCUUAGAACACUACUAUGUGGAUUUUUGCUGCCUAAAGUAUGGUGUCAGGCCUUAAAAACUCGCAAGUCAUCUAUGCUUAAUUAGCCAGUUAACCUUUAAUUUCUCCUCACAUGGCACUCCCACCAGCUCCACUCCAAUGCCAUGACCAUCUGCUGGGUGGUGCGGGACAAAUUCUGCCAGUACAUCACCCCCGAUGUUUGACUGCUAACAGUUGUUCAACCUCUCCCACUGUUAGCCUGAUGCCAUGAUCACAGGUCACAUGCCACAGGAUACAAGUCCACACCAGAUAUACAAUAUACAAAUUAUAGCAAGCCAGUCAGGGCAAAGCACUAGGCAGUAAAAGGUAUUACAUUACAGUGUUUGAUCACCCUCUCAUGUUGCCCCUACUUUCAACAGCACAUCUAAGUCAACACCAUGAUUCAUUCUUGAUACAGGCGAAACCAUAAGAGCAGAAAAAUAAUGAGACGAAAAAAGAAAAG
Panicum virgatum (switchgrass) is the source of this 2288-nucleotide RNA transcript. It is a transcript of the gene named nucleolin-like, with no coding region annotated. Lineage: Eukaryota; Viridiplantae; Streptophyta; Magnoliopsida; Poales; Poaceae. The record is from RefSeq and is a predicted model, not a curated record. The transcript has 6 exons.